This 522-nucleotide long non-coding RNA is filed under the name Castor canadensis (American beaver). RNAcentral describes it as "lncRNA (ENSCCNG00000015932.1)". The record is from RNAcentral. Lineage: Eukaryota; Metazoa; Chordata; Mammalia; Rodentia; Castoridae.
UAUAUGAUAGGAAAAAUCAUAUAGCCACUAGAGGGAGCUUUGACACAAGCCAGGAAAUUAUCCCUACUGUAAAGAAUCCUUACAGGAGUGAGGAGACCAAUUACCUUGAUCUGGAUCAGCAAUAAAAUUAGAUGGUUUGGGGGAGAAGAAAUUGACCAAGUUUACACAAUAGGAAGAAUUUCCCUACCUGAUGAGCUAAUAUUCAGCAAGGGAGGCUACAAAAAAAAGGCUAGCCUGUUCCCUGGUGCACCUGCUUCUGCUACUGAUCCAAACUGCAGAACAUCUCCUUCAUCCCCAAGGCCUCCAGGCAAUGUCCAAUGGGGAAUCUGCUCUAAAAGGAACCAGAUCAACGUUUUCCAGCCCCUUCAUUCUGGUGAUUGAUGGAAGAGUGGGAGGGGGGGAUACACUUGUACACUAGUGGAUAGAUCUGCUACCAUAUGUAUCGUGUAUGGGGGAAGUUUGGAGAUGUCAUUUUUAUUAGAAGUGACUGGAGGAGAAUAAAUGGAGGUGACCUAGGAGUCA